CUUUUACCGUAAACUGCGUUAGGGAUGGAAGUGGAAAUCCUUUUUUUUAUGGUUGUUUGAAUUUGUUUUGUAAAAAUGAUUUUUGUUUUUAUCGAAAUCAUUCAACUGAAAACUACAACCAUAAAAAAAAAAUUGAAACGGACAGCCCGACCCUUG
Molecule: small RNA, 156 nt
Organism: Flavobacterium branchiophilum FL-15
Lineage: Bacteria; Pseudomonadati; Bacteroidota; Flavobacteriia; Flavobacteriales; Flavobacteriaceae
Rfam family: Flavo-1 RNA
Source: Rfam